AGUGAACGCUGGCGGUAGGCCUAACACAUGCAAGUCGAACGGCAGCACAGUAAGAGCUUGCUCUUACGGGUGGCGAGUGGCGGACGGGUGAGGAAUACAUCGGAAUCUACUUUUUCGUGGGGGAUAACGUAGGGAAACUUACGCUAAUACCGCAUACGACCUACGGGUGAAAGCAGGGGAUCUUCGGACCUUGCGCGAUUGAAUGAGCCGAUGUCGGAUUAGCUAGUUGGCGGGGUAAAGGCCCACCAAGGCGACGAUCCGUAGCUGGUCUGAGAGGAUGAUCAGCCACACUGGAACUGAGACACGGUUCAGACUCCUACGGGAGGCAGCAGUGGGGAAUAUUGGACAAUGGGCGCAAGCCUGAUCCAGCCAUACCGCAUGGGUGAAGAAGGCCUUCGGGUUGUAAAGCCCUUUUGUUGGGAAAGAAAAGCAGCAGGUUAAUACCCCGCUGUUCUGACGGUACCCAAAGAAUAAGCAUCGGCUAACUUCGUG
Molecule: ribosomal RNA, 492 nt
Filed under: uncultured bacterium
Lineage: Bacteria
Description: partial 16S ribosomal RNA
Rfam family: Bacterial small subunit ribosomal RNA
Source: RNAcentral